AAAAACAAAAUCAAUAGAAAAAGAAAACAAAAUGCGUACGCACGUCGUCAAAUCAAUCUGAUGGGCCCCCCUCUCUCUCUCACUCUUCGCCCCUCAUACCUACAGUAUUUUAUCUUCUUCCUGCUCCGCCCCGCCGUGGCUCUGGAUCUGGUGACCUAGCUAGCCAACCAUGCCUCGCACUCCACCGAAGCCUUCCUGCUUCGAGCUACUCCACGCCCCAGUAUUUCAGCUUCUCUGUCCUGUUCCCCUUGCGCGGAUCGAUCUACUUCCGGCCGGGCGCGCGGCGCAGGACGGGAGGGCUUGGCCUUGCUGCUGCUGCUGCUUCCUCUCGGCUCCAGAUCCCCCGCUCGUUGAUGGCCGGCCGGUGAGUCCAUGGAAAACUCCAGUCGCUCCAGUAUGAAAUUUCAUUUUUCAUUUCAGACGUCCAUGGAUGGAUAUAUAGAUCUGCUAAUAUAAGUGCGUAAGUUGGAGUCAGUCACCGCGGCUGCCAGUAAUUCUCUGUAACUUUGUUGAGUGCUAGCUUGCUUGCCGCUAUCGGAAGCCUACCCAUCAUCGGCUAGCUAGCUAGCUAGCGUGAUGAAUAGCUUGCGAGGGGCUUGAAGAAUCCUGCUACUAGUUAGGAUGGUGGCGCCGGGACCGGCCAGGCCAACUGAUGAACUGAGCACAGGAGGAGUAUUUGGCUAGUAGAACCGAGUGAUUAGUAAGCGACCGCCCAGCCAAGAACUCCCAAGAAACUUUUUUCAACUACCAGUAGUGAUUAGAAACCACUAAUAUAUAGUAGAUGCCACUCUGAGUUGGGUUUAGACUGUUUCUGUGACGACAGAGCAGAGCACCCGGUGUGGGAGAAAGGGAGAUGGCACCGGCCGCGCUGUGGCCUCCCAGAUCUAGACGCCGACCAAGUGGGUGGGCCCCACGCAUGAGUCACCGCGUUCUUGCAUUUUCCCCUUUUCCAAUUUGGAAAGAACGGGCGGCGUGCACCCCCGCCGCCUAGGCCUAGGCCUAAGCUAGCUGUCCAUGCUCAAGGCAGGCCUAUUUCAGGGGCACACUACUGGAGUUGUACUAGUUACCUCUUUCCAUUUUAGUACCACCAACGACCCUGCGAUACAACCGUGUACUAGGUGCACGUUGGAGUAUUAUUUUAUUUUAUUUUAUUUAUUUCCGAUUGGGUCGAUCAUUUGUCCCGGACCUUGCCACUCUAGUCUAGCCUAAUUCUUCACUUUUAAAAGUAUACUACCAGAAGAAUCAAACCUAUUAUACAGAGCUCAUCAGAAAUAGAAAGCAUCUUAAACAUAAUAAAAAAAAAAUUACGUCUGAGAUUCCGAGAGCACGGAACAACCACUACCGAGUCGCCGCUCCUCUUUCAGCCCGGUUUGACCUUGUUGAUGAAAGCAUGGAAGUCUUUGUGAACGUGCCCCUAAAGAAUAGUUCCCUGUAGCCGCAAUCGUUGCCGUCUUUGUUGAACUCUUACAUAGAUCUGAAGCACCUAAUCUCGCCACACGACAAGAAAACUAACCUCACCAUCCCAAAGAGAUGGUAGGAAUCUACACUGGAGCUCCGUCGACUACGUCCAAACAGGCGAACUCAAGGGAGGGUUGAAGCCCGAAAGGCAGACUCGAAGAAGAAACACCGGCAUCCGCCGAGCGCGACAUGUGCGAGGAGGGAAACAAACUUAACCUAAACUACCAACCAAAGCAGAUGCACCGAGAUUCCCCUCCCUGCCACCGGGCGCCAAAGUAGCAGGUAGAGGGGAGGGAAAUCCACGGGCUCGCCGGUGAAGUCUGCAGAAAAAAGUUUGCCCUAGCCGAGGGUUAGGGAAGGAAAGGAGAGAAGACCAAAAUCCUCUACACAGCUGCCACCUCCACCUCCUCUCCCAAGAAAGAACUUAGGGUUCCUCUACCUCACAUGGGCGCCGCCGCCGACACGCCUCGUCUCGGGUGGCCCUAGGGCCAUGGAGGCGUAUUGGACCCUAGCCCCUCACCGGCAAGUGGGAUCUUCCUUUGUUUUUGGUGCUUUAUGAGUUUGUUUAGGGUUUGCGUGCUACUUAGGAAGACGAGAUAGUGACGGCUCCCUGAAGAUGGAAUAAAAUUCUCCCCGCCCGCCUCCCGUUCCAGUGAUGCGUCUAGCGUUGUCGGAGGGCGUGGAGGUGUAUGUCCGGUGGAUCUCGCGAGAUUCGGUCAUUGGUGGUCUUCAGUGGAUCCGUUUGGAUCCAAUCUUUAUUCGUCUUCGUUUGUUUGUCUACAUGUUGGAUCUUUUUUUUAUACUUCUUUUCAUCGACGACGGCUGCUGUUCUGGUGUGCUGAUCCUGUGGAGUCUUAGCACGACGAUUUCCAGAAUAUCUACUACAAUAAGUUUGACCUAGAUUCGGUGAGGAAGAGGUGAUGACGAAGGUGCACCUUCGACUCACUCCAGUGCUUAUAGUCUUCGCUAAAUGGUCUAUGGAUAUGGGUGUAAUUUUCAUUGUUUAUGUGUUUAUUUACUGUCGUGGCAAUGAUAAAUAUAUCAAAAGUUUUCUUAAAAAGAUGAGACAAGAGGAAGUUGUGAGCAGUAUAAGUAUUCUUGUAUCUCUUUUGAUUUUGAAGAAAAGAACGAGCACCGCUGGCAAUUAAAGUUGAAAACAAAAACUCAAGUACCUUUCAUUAUUUUUGGUUCGCCGAAUAUAGAGGGAAACGGUUCCGCAUGUACCAAGGGAGUUUAUACGCGGCAAUAAUAAUAAUAGUAAAACAAUAAUAAUAAUAAUAAUAAUAAUAAUAAUAAUAAUAAUAAUAAUAAUAAUUUAUAUACAUAAUAAUAAAGGUCUAUUGCUUCUUGCAGCAUGUCAUGGAAAUUGCACCCAAAGUUGCAAAAUAUUACCCAGCAUGCCACUUGUAAGUAAGUGAUAAAAAAUGUUUCACACACGAGAAUUUUCCGUCUGGGCCGGCUCAGGCAGUAGGGACUUCAUGUAUUGCAUGCUGGGAGAAGACGCCCGUUUGGGUCGGCGUCCGGGUGGCUUUUUUUUUAAUUUAGUUUUUUAUUUUAUUUUAUUUUCCUGUUUAAUUAUUUCUACUUUAGAAAAUUUGGGAGCUAAAAAAGUUCCAAAAAUAAAAAAAUAAGAACUUUGAAAUAAAAUGUUUAAUAAAUCAUAAAAUGUUUGUGGAUUCAAAAAUGUUCCCAAUUUUAUAAUUUUGUCUCUUAUUAAAAAAGUUCGAAAUUUAAAAAAUGUUCGCGAAAUAAAAAUGUACAUGAUUUUUCAAAAAGUUUGUGUAUUAAAAAAAUAUAAUGAAAUUAAACAAAAAUUUUCCAAUUAAAAAAUAUUCAUGAAUAGAAAAAGAUCCUAAAAAUUCAAAAACUAUGAGUGACUUACAAAAUAGUUUAUUCAUUCAUAAAAUGAUCAUGCAUUGCAAAAAAUGUUCAUUCAAACAAAAAAAGUGUUCAUUAAAUCAAUAAAAUGUUCUUGAAUUUCAAAAAUUGUUCCACCAGUUUCUAAAACAAUGUUCGUCCAUUCUAAAAAUGCACCGAUUCAAGAAAAUUGUUAAGAGGAUGUUCACAAUUUUUAGAAAAUGCUUGCAAAUAGUAUAAAAUGUUCAUGAAUUCAAAAAAUGUUCAAAACUUUGUAAAAGUGUUCAUGAAUUUGUAGUUCGCAAUUUCAAAUAUGUUCAUGAGUUUUAAAAAAUGUUCAAGAUUUCACGAAAUUGAGAAUGAUAGUGUAUCUCGGUGACGCGGCAAAAUAUGAUCAUGGCAAUUAGAUUAUGAUUUAUUUUUCUUCCGUUGGAGCGCACGGGCCAAUUCCCAUCUACUAGUACGGUAGUACGAGGUUGAUAAGUUUUCUUUCCUAAAAAAAAAGAGUUAUCUUUCCUCGUGCAUCCCGUGCGGCUAUUAUCUUCUUCCCCCUCCGAUCCAUCACAUCUUCCCUAGCUCUUCCUUUCUCCCAAACCAGAUCUUUGCUGGCGUGGUUUCAAGGCCCAUCGAAGCUCGGGCAGCCGCGCGCGCGCUCUAUGUCGAUGAUGAAGGCGGCGACCAAACCUUUCUUCGUAAUUGGAUUUCCUGUUCCAUGGUUUGGAUCAACUGCCGGCCGGCCGCCCGAUACGAAUUCAGCUUUUAACUCCUGAUUUCGAUCCUUGUUUCUGUGGUAUGGGAUUAAUCAGAUCUCAAUCCCCUCGUUCCUUCAAAUCAAAUUUAUUCAACAAGGGUAGAGUCGCCUCCAAGUUUGGUCCCUAUUCUCAAAUUUGAUUUGCUCAUGCAUGCCCUGCAGGAUCUCCUCGCAGCCGGCCGGCCGUAUACACCGUGUCUGAUCCUUCCUCUUUGUCCAGAUGUUAAACCAAACACGGUUCGAUCUGAGCAGAUGGUCAACUUCUUCCUAUGCCAGGUAAAGUCUUGCACUCCUGAUGAAGUUUCAACCUUACCACCAAGUUGCAAAUUUUCUGCUCCUUUUUUCACCUAAUUAGAACGAAUUGCGUAUGCAUUAUGAAGGUGAUUUCCUCAUGGUUUUGUCAGGCGAGAGUCGGGAAUUAUUUUUCAGUUCAGUCUCUACUGUCUUUUUAUUCCUGUUCUUCUGACGUUGGAUUGGUUCUGAAUGUUUUUCCAUACUGAAAGGACGUUUCGUUAGCGGUCCAUCGAACGUAUGCGACUACAAUUCAUUUGGGAAUGGAACGGGAAGUAUGAAACCACCUUCCUCCUAACAUCUCAGGCUCUCUAGUGAGAAUUCCUGAUGUCUGACUGCCCGUUCUUUCCGUAUUUGUAGACCGAUUCAGGAUUUACAUGUCGAUCAUCGUUUCUGGAGUGAUGGAUCUUCUGCAAAUUGAUCUGUGAAAGCCUUGAAGAAACAAAGAAACAAACCAUUCUAAUCCCCUGACUUAUUUAGGCAACAAUAACAUAGCAAGAACUUGAAAGAAAACACAUUCAUUUGGGAGCCCAUAUCACACGAAUUACAUUUCAAUUGGCAUAGGAAAUGAAAAGGAAAAGGAAAAAAAAGUUGUUACAGUGAGCUGUUCAUUGUGUGAAGAUUAUCAAAUUCAUAAUAUUGACGCCCUUCCCUCCUCCACAUGACUACGCAAAAAUUAUCUGACACGAGGCAUUGCCAUGUUUAAUUGGACGCAAACAGAAGCACCGCCACCAGUUACUUCACGGCGAUAGGUCGACAGAACGAACGAGACAGGAAGGGAUGAAAGGAAUGAAGAUGGAGCUGGUUGCGCCAGCCCUCAAAGGGGAGGAUGGGAACUGACCAUACGGCGGAGGAAGGGGAGAGAGAGGGAGAUAAAUUAAAGUGAUUAGAGGAAUAAUUACGCUAUCAGUAUAGAUUUGCAGAGGCCCAUUUUUUAAGAAAAAAGAGCGAGGACUAGCCCUUGGUUGCCAACUGAGCGACUCUCGGCAAUCAACUUAAUUCCUAAGGGAUUGGAUUAUAUAUUGAUGGAUGGCUGAGGUCGUGUGGUUCUGACAAACUUGUUAUUUUUAGGAAACAACCUGUUAAAAAUACUACCAUAUCUAAAAAUUGCUUCCUUUUUUUGCCCACUAGCUCUAAAAUAUUAUGUCUUUCUUCCCAUUUAUCAAAAUCUCCCUGUCCCUAUGACUUUGCCACUUGUCAAACCCAUACGUCAACUAAUUGAAGCCACAUCACAAAAUCUAAAUAAUAACAAGACUUCACUCUCUUUAAGCAAUAAUCUAGCGACACAUUUGGCAUCCCUCCACAAGUCGGGCUUCAACUCUCUGGGAAUACGCCACUGCCUCCUCCUGCCCUUGACGACACUAUCUUUUUAAAACCGCCAUCAAGGCACUUCAUUAAUUCAUAGGCAGGUUAACAUCUCAUUGCAUGGGAUUACAUCAUCAAUACUUGAAUCAAUAUCCAGCAUAAGUGUUGUCUUGGUGCACACACGUGCAUACAAUUGGCACUCCUUCUAGCAAAACAAAAAGUAAAACCCUGGAAGUUUGAGAGAUAUCCCCUCAUCUUUUUGAAAACCUGACCGCAUGCAGAGCGAUCCUCACCUUUCAUCCACAUAGAGUACAAGACUUGACAAUCCGUCUAGAGCACAAUGUACUGAAAGUCUUUCUCCAUAGCCAUAAUCACUCCUUCAUGGCAUGCCAGUGUCCCAAUGAUGAGCGGUUCAGAGAUUGCAUUAUAUUUAACAUACAUCGCCUGGAUAAGACCCAUCAUGUUCUCGAGCAAUCACCCCAGCUCCUGCUAUACCUCGACUUGAUUUUUGAAAUUGCUAUUAAAUUUUUAUUUACUAAAAUAUUGUAAGCCACCUUCAAUUAAAUUUUGUUACAAAUAAUUAUAAGGAAUUUAUAAGGGUAAAUUACAAUUUAGAUUGUAAUUCUACUAUAUACUGUACUCUCGCCGUUUUAGUUUACUAGGUCCAUCUAAAAAAUCACUGUAACCAAGAAAGACCUAAUCAAGUGCUGGACCACGUAUUAAUGCAGUAUGCUUCGUCAUGGCUCUUUUCCUGCAUUUGUUGGUUCUAAAUUAAGAACCAAAAUUUGACAAAUACCAAUGCGGCUCUAAUCAAUGAUUGCGUAAACCCAAGGCAUGGGGGCUUACAAACUAAAAAUUCAGAUAUUUUGAGAUGGGUCUAACAAGCUGGACGGGAGGGGGUAUUAGGCAGUAUCAUUAUGCUUGGAGUUGAAGUGUGAUGUCUUUUGAGAUUAAUGAUAAGAAUACAUACAUUUAUUGUUCCAAUACUUGAAUAUGGUAAACACAUGAAAUAUGUCAAAGUAGAGGGCAAAGAGGAAGAAAAAGCAAGUCGGAGUAUCUUGGACACUUCGGCACAAAUUAGGAGAAAUAGUAGAAUUUAUUCUGAAAAGGAAGAAUCAUGUUAACACCAUGGAGCUCUGUGGGUGAAUUCAUUUGUAUCUGUAUAUAGGAGAUUCAGCCAGCGAAAGUUACACAUGGUCCACAAUCUCUUGUGAUUAACGAGUUGCGUAUGUCUUACAGUGCACCCAAUCUUCGGGAUAUUUUAGAACUUAGCCCGGGCACACAUGCCUCACAUUUUAACUCAUUCUAGGCUUCUCAUCAUUUCGUUGUUUGGUCACUCUUGCAGGUUCUAGGCCAGCUACCAAGCAUCAUCUGCUCGGGAUAUUUUGCUUACUCUGACAUCCCGUAACUCUGUUGAAUUACUCUCCUAUAUAUCGUCACGUAUAGAUGGUACGUUCCUUUUACAGCGAGCUGUACGUGUUGCACAGCACAUCUUAUCUAUUCUACAGUUGCAGAGUUGCCUAGGAUUAUGUUCUCAGCAUUUCCUUCUUUGGUCACCUGUGCAGGUUCUGGGUCAGCCACCAAGUUUCCUCUGUUCUGCAUAUUUUGUUUCGUUUGACAUCCAACAAGUCUGGAAGCGAUCUCUUUAUAGCGUCACAUAUAACUGGUACGCUUCUUUUCAAGUCUCGUGCAUUUACUUGGGGCUCAUUGACACCGGUUAGUCUGAAGUGCAUCGGCUAUAAACAUGGGUAUUUUCGAUUAUCUAAAAUUCAUUUCAUCAGGACAUGCAUUUCCAUGAAAAGAAAAUCAUCCCAUCUGCAUCAACAUUGAUGUCGUAGUGAGACCGAGAGAAGCCGAAGAAAACUUGCCAAGUCCUUUUUCCCAUUCUCCCGCGCAACCCAUCCUAUGGCGGCUCCAGGACUGAAAUCCUAGUUCACCCCCCUCCCCCUCUUGCGCUUGAGUCUUGUUUUGUCUCCAUUGGCUAGAGGUGAACAGGGCGAGGCAUGUCACAUGUGGUGAUGGUGGCGUGCGACAAUGGUGACGACGGCGAGGCGCACCAUGGGAACAGUGGAGACAGGCGAUGCCGGAGACACGUGGGUGGCGGUUGGCGCUAUGUGGUGGUGAUGACAAUGGUGUAGGUGCCAAAGUGCGCAUGGUUGGGCGGUGGGGUGCCAGGGGCACAGUGGCGGUAGGCGGUGCUAGAGUCACCUGGGUGGCAUGCGAUGGUGAUAUCAGCACAUGGCGGUGGCGGUGAGAUGCAUAGGGUGGACGGUGGGGCGCACCAGGGCACGAUGGUGGUGGGUGGUGGCGAUUGGCCAGUCAUAGGGGUGGCGUUGGUGGACUAGAUGCACGGUGGUGGCAAGUGGUGUGCCCGCGGCGGACGUGUCGGUCUACUUGUUAAGCUCCGACGACGACAAAAAGCGCAAGGAUCGCGGCGGCAAUGGAAGAUUCGGAGGAAGAGGAUGCGCCAGCGAAGGAAGAUGCAGAGGAGGCCGCUGGUGGUGGCGAGUGGUGUGCCCGGGGCGGAUGUUGUGUCGGUCGACUUGUGGAGCUCCGACGACGACAAAUAGCGCGAGGAUCAUGGCGGCAAUGGGAGAUUCAGAGGAAGAGGAUGUGUCGGGGAAGGAAGAUCAGGAGGAGGCCGAUGGUACCGACGAGGUAUGCAUCCCCUCGUGGGAGGAGGCGGAGAGGGAGUAUGAGUGGGCUCUACCCAAGGAGGAGCACCGGGUGGGAUGUCGGGCUCAUCGCGCACGUCGUGUUGGAAAGGUCCAUCAGCGACGAGCGUGAGAUAGUCGAGAAUCACCAUGACAGGAGUCAAUAGCAAAAAACUACCACAUUACGGGUCAUCGUUCAAAAAAACUACCGCUUUUUUAAUCUUUUCAAAAAGCUACCACAAAAUUGUUCUGCUGUUACAAAAAACUACCAUGUCGCACUGAUGACUACUUUGGUUAACUUUAAACGUUAUUAUGACAGGUCGGGUCCACUUGUCAGGUUGAUUGUUUGAUUUGACCGUUAGUUUGACCAUUGACAGGUUAUGACAGGUGGGGUCUAAGUAUUUUUUUAGCAAAUAGGUCCCUGAAACAAAAUAUAAAAGCAAUCAGGUCCUUGAUUUUUUUUUUAAAAAGCAAUCCCGUCCUCCCGGGGAGCUCGUCGCCGGAGCCGGCCAGUACCACACCGGCGAGCUCGUCAGGGCCGUCCAGCUCUGGCCGUGGCCGGCGGGAAGCAGCAGCCGCGGCGGGCUGGAACCGCCCGAGUUCCCUGGCUGCUCCCCGCCCGUGCUCGAGCUCGCGGCCAGCGGCGGGGCGGCUGCUCGUGGCCAGCGGCGGGGCAGACCUAAGCAGGCAGCGGCGCGUCCAUGACGUGGUGGUGGUCGGCCCUCGCGGCGGCGGCCGUGGUGGUGGCCGGCCCGGAGACGCUCCCCAUGGCGUGGUGGUGGCCGGACCAGGCGGCGGCGGCGGCCGUGGCUCCGUCGGCCAUGGCGCUCGGGAUUUCGAGUGAUAAGGGAGGGAGAGAGGGGAGAAGAGAGAUAAGGGAGAGAGAGCACUUACAUGUGGGACCCAGUUGUAAGUUAACGGUAAACAAACAGUCAACAAACGGUCUGUUUAGUAGCGGGCCUGACCUGUCAUAAACGGGAUUAAUUCUAAGUCGGGUGGUCAUUUGGGUUUUUUGGAACAGCAGAACAAUUUUGUGGUAGCUUUUUGAAAAGAUUAAAACAGCGGUAGUUUUUUUAGAACGAUGACCCGUAAUGUGGUAGUUAUUUGCUAUUCACUCCCAUGACAGCAAGAACAAGAGCUGCUCUUUUAGCGCCGAUGACUCGAAGGUACCAUCGUGGAGCAUCCAUGAUGCCGAUGAGUCCGGCUCAGGGAAGGCGUAUUUGAUCUACCUCUCGUCCGAUAAGGACAAGCAAGUUUAUCUUGUUUUUAGCUCUAAAUCUAUGUUAAUUAGGUUGUAGUUAGUUUAAGUACUUGGUAAUUAGGUCGUAGUUAGUUUAAGUACUUGGAUAUUUAAUGUGCACCCUGAAAUCUAGCGUAGCGGCAUAGGUAGAAAUCUAGCUUUGGUGCUCGAAAGUCCGAGUAGGAAGUAGCUGUAGUAAUGGACUUUUAUUUGCUGUGACAGAAGUUGCAGAAAGUAAAAAACCAUGCAAGUGAUAAGCUCUUAAGAUGUCGGCACUCAUCAUUCAAUGUCUGUUAACACAUGUAAGUAGUAAAAUAAAUUUGAUCAGCUAGCAGUAGCACACUUCGUCUACUACCACACACACACACACACAGUGAGUCUCACAAACACAGUGGCUCAUUAAUGAGUACAAGUGGGACACCACAAAUGUUGAAGGCACCAGUCGCAAUCUCCAAGAAAGCACUAUUCGCAUUGCUCUUGUCCACGCGAACAGAUAGUACUACCACUCCAGUCUUGCUGCAGAACCCACUCAAACUUCCCUGACAUCGACCUCGGGAUACGAGCGAGAACCACCAUGUUUCAUCAUUGUCAUGAGUGCAUCAAUGACAUGGUCUGAGUCAUAGUUGAUCAAGUGAAGCAAUUGAUCAGUACCAGUUCCCGCGAGCCUUGUCAUGGAGGCUGGGUAGUUGGGAACUAGGUUGCCAUCCUCAUUUUGCUCAUAAACAAUGUAGUUUUUGAUGCGAUUAUGUCCUUCCUUUGCUGACAAGGCAUUGACUGAACCAUUCAUCUGUUGCACUGCUUUAAUCAAUUUGUCAUUCCAUCCGUGCACCUCAUAGUACUUGUGCAGCAGGGCAACAUAUAAAGCAAGGAAUGAUCUGCCCAUGCUAGACCAAUCAUGUAAGUGAUCGUUCAACUCUUCAUGAAGCGGGACUGCAUCCCCAUUCUCAAAGUUCUGCUCCGCAAACUGCAAGAACACCCCUGAACGUUGACACUCCCCAAAUAAUAUCAUAAAUGUCUGCAGCAAUCUAACUCUAUCAUAUAUCCAAUCUCCAAUACUAAUGCUGUUCUCUGGAGUGAAUAUUUUCAAGUGACAAUUGGUGGGGGUGAAAGCAAGGAGGCAUUCCAGUAAGUUCAGAGUUAUCCCUUGACCAAGAGUUAUCCCCACUUGCUUCGUGUAUCCACUGUCCCAACUUAGCUUAUUCCCUUUCAGAUCAAAGGGAAGGUUUACAUCCUUAAAGUGAAACCAUCCACCCGGAUUUUCCUUGGUUGGAACAACAUAGAAUGCGAUCAGAUAACCGUUACUUUGGCGAAAUAGAAGCCACAGCACAACCUUGCCGUCCAGCUCAAUCUCGACCAUGUUGUAUGUUUCCUGCAAUUCACAUUUGCACAUCAUUUCAACUCCUAGCCAUAUGUAGGAAAAGGAUAAGAAAAAGAAGAAAAAGAAUCAGCGAAUAUUACAUUUUCGGAAGGCUGCGUGACUGGAACUCCUUGAAUGCUCAUUGAUCUCACUUUCUUAAAGAGCUUGCGUCUAGCAUCCAGAACUUCCUUCAAACCAUCAUAGUUACUCUGAAUGGCGCCACGCUCGUCAAUGCUUUGAAUAUUGCCAUCCUGGUCAGUCUUCAGUCUCCAUAUUACGCUCUUUACAUCCUGCAGCAAAGAGGAAGCAACGAGCAUUAGUUUCUAAAAAUCAUUUGCUAUGCUUUAUCAACUUGCGGACAGAACUCAAGGUCAUAAAUAUAUUGCAAUCUAGCAUUUGCCUCUAUAUAUAUCCAAAAUUCUGAACCUACAGUUAAUAUGACAACUCCGAAACUGCUUGUCAAGUCACAAGAUAAUGAAUUAAAGUGUUGCACUGUUAUCUGCUGGUAGGUAUAACACAUAUGCCCAAACACACCGCUUCUACUCCUGCUUUUGCACUUAAGGUGAACAGAUUAGGUGAACAGAUUGCACAUAUGAUUCAUAAACCAAAGCAUACUGCUUCUACUCUACUUAUGCACCGAAAGGUAACAGAUUGCACAAAGAACUCUUUCAUGAAGAAUAUUGGAGCUUGCAUUUCAUGACAAUGAAAAGGGGCAAAUGAUAUUUUGCAUGUUUGUUCUCACAUUAAGUUAUGCAAAUAUUAAAAUAUACGAAUGUGUUGCUCAUAGUGGUUAAGUUCAAGGAAUAUGUAGUAUUCCUGUUAAUUCUUAGUUAACUUACAGACCUGUGAGAGGCUGUGUAUAUUAGUUUACAUAUAUAAUUCUAAUGAUGUCAGAAAGCUGUGAGAGGCAGUGGUCAUCUAACGAGCAGCUGUAAAUUAACUUUCUCUUUUGAAAUCCACAACCACAAUUAGUUAGCAGCAUGUCAAAUUGAAAAAAAAACAAGUGAGAGAGAAGAAUGCUUGUGGUCGUCCAACACACUGAUUAAGUGAUAUUUGGCAAGACAGAUUUCUUUAGGAAUUAGUUCAAAUUCAAACAAACAUAACUGAGCGUUCGAACCCAAAUUUCACCCUUUCAAACAAGUCCCGUGUGCAGUACCUGUAUGCUGAAAGAUUCUAUUCACUGCUGGCAUAGUCUGAAUAAUUAAGCAAUGAAAUUGCAAAACACCAUACAAUUUCAAUAGCAACAAGUGAAUGAUCUAGGGAUGUGUUUAGUUUGAGCCCCAACUAGCCCACCAAAAUUUUGGCAUGACUAAGACAAGGGCAUGGCUGAAAAUUCGGCAACUACUUGUUGUUUGGAUUAUAGCAAUUGCACCUACUAUUUUUUUUGGCAACAUGUAUUAAUUUUUGCUUAGUUUGAUUCCUAUUCAGCUAUCAUGUUGCGUUAACAAAAGCAGAAACAAAUGUUAAACAGAACUUAAUUAACUACAGUGUGGCAAAAGAAACUGAAUGGACCUGUAAAAAGAAUGUUAAACAGAACUUAAUUAACUACAGUGUGGCAAAAGAAACUGAAUGGACCUGUAAAAAGUGUGGAUCUUUAACACAGAUGUCACCAUGCACCUAAUUCUACCUAUCUCUGAAGACAUAGUUGAUUAUAGGAAAAGUCACAGCUGAUUAUACGGAGACUGAAACAACUAUAUUGACAUGGCUAAACAGGACUAGUUACACUUACAUGGCUUCAUACAUGGAAACUGGACACGCGCUUAAUGAUCUAUUCAAACUAUUGCUGGAUGAGAUGUCACCGCUUAUUGCUUCCGUCAACCGUCAACGUGAACUCAUGUAGUUAAUCUACCUCACUAAUUGCUUCAGUGUUGCAGUACAGAAUGAGGCCCCACAUAUGUGAAGCGGGCAAGCUGGUCUGCCAAAUAUUUGGCGAGUGCUUUAGCGCAAACGGCAUGCCCAGGCGUUGGCGAAAAUUACAUGGGAGCAUGAGGACUUGCUUUGGCGAACCAAAAUUUUGGCAUCUAUAUGCAAGCGGAAGGCAAAUCUCACAGACAAGUCACAAAAUUGGUAUGGCUAGUAUUGGUAGUAACCAGACACCUGAAGUCUUACCAAAGAUAAAAUUUACUUUCAAAGUCAAUUAUAUUGGCGUUGCAACAACUGGCAAUCCCUUGCAAGUUCAUAAAUUCAGUUACUUUAUUGACUGUCCCUAAAUACCAGACCGGUCAAAUUCAUCAAAACCUGCUUUUUAAGCUAGACGCAGCACAAGCAAGUAGAUAUUCGCCCAGAUCUACUUUUCAAGUAAAUAUCCUAGCCGGAUGUAGAAAAUAUCCUAUCAUUUCACCAGAUCUAGAGAUACGAAAGAAUAUUUGGAAGCCGAAGAUGGCAGGGGGGAUGGAUUGGUAGAUGCAUACCGAAAUGCUGGUCUGCUUGCAAGCAAUCGACCGCCUCGAGGCCUCCUGAAAAGCCAAAUCCUUUUUCUUCUGCACCGCAUCCCCCGCCCCACUACUCUGGCUGCUAUCAGAUGGCCGACUGCUGCUACUGAUAGUUGCCCUCGUCCCUCCGCGGCUGCUGGAUUCGUUGACCGACGCUCCUCCUUUCUUCCCCCCUUCCCCCCGGCCAUGUGUAGCGCCGCGCCGCGCCUCCCACCGCCCCUUCCUCUUAGUGCAAGCGACGAAUCUGUGGAGAGAGUAGAAGCGGAGGAGCACUUGCGGUGACUGUAAAGUCGACACCUUUCUACUGCCUGCCCGACUAAUGCUUCUCAAGAGAGGAUGUUUUAGGAUAUCUCCAAGGCCGGCCCUCAAAAGGCCUGUUGUGCCAUUCAAUAUGGGCCUGUAUCGGUCCAUCGAGUGACUCAGGCGUGUUUUCUUUCACAAACGAAACCAAAGACAAACGUGGGGAUUUGCAAGCCUCCGGACCACUCCCAAGUCCACGUCUGACCGCUUUGGCCCACCCAAAUCGUCCCCUCGUCCGCGAUCGCUUCCCACCUGUAACGGUUAGCGCCGCUUCAGAGCGCCAGUGCCGCAUUCAUGCUCGGCUAGAGUGUACGUAAUUUCUCAUUGUCGCCGGCAUUGAAGCGGCAUAUAUGUCGAGAGACCGUUGCCCACGCUACUUCCCGGUGCAGGCGACUGCUCCGCGUUCAGACGACACCGAGACAAGAUACGAACUAUCCUAUGUGACCUUGAGAAGAUAUAUCGUCCAGCCUUAUUUGAUGUGAUGCU
RNAcentral lists this long non-coding RNA (14131 nucleotides) under Triticum aestivum (bread wheat). RNAcentral describes it as "long non-coding RNA (TAES_LNC021851)". Lineage: Eukaryota; Viridiplantae; Streptophyta; Magnoliopsida; Poales; Poaceae. The record is from RNAcentral.